Molecule: long non-coding RNA, 583 nt
Organism: Anopheles arabiensis
Lineage: Eukaryota; Metazoa; Arthropoda; Insecta; Diptera; Culicidae
Exons: 3
Source: RefSeq, a predicted model, not a curated record
GCGUACGGCUGUCGGGUCGGUACCGGUUGUGCCAUCGCGCUGCCGUCUGACAGUGGGAAAACAAAUGGCGGUGCGAUUUGAAAGGUGUGUUGUGUCGUUGAAAAAGAGAACAAUGUGAUGUGUUUCGAAUUGGAGAACGGUCGAUUUUUAAGUUGUACGAGAAGGUUGUGAAACGCUAGAUGUUUCUUUUUUUUCUAUUGUUUUUGAUGCUAAAAUUUGGAUAUGUUUACAUCGCUCAAUUGCUAUGCCAUCACCUCUUGUACAUGUGUGUCCAAGCAAGCCAACUUUGACAUAUCUGUCGCGGAGCAUUCAAUUUGGACAAGUGCGGAAUUUGUGAGAACGCAAUUAUACAAACAAAAAAGGUUAAAGUCCAGAUGGGCACUCGUCCGGCUGAGCGGCUGUCAGAUCGUUGCUGCCACAAAUUGUAAAUAAGUGUUUGUUUCACACAUCUUCAUACUCCUGCUCCUCUUGACACACAUGGCUACUGCAUCGCGUCACCCACCACCGUCGUGGGGAAUGGAUAAUUUUCACGCAAACUGGCGGUAUGGUGUAUAAUGGAACGGGCAAAGAUUACGCUACCUGC